UGUUUGCUUUUGUGAGGGAGUGAUGUUACUUGAUAACGAAACAGUAUGUCUGAUCCAAAACCAUAUUUUCAAAACACAUUGAUUGCGUGUGAGUGGAUUUAAAUUCUGGCACACAGAAGCAUUAACAGUGUCAUUUUCAAGAACCUCCACUUUGUUUUUGUUUUAGAGCAUUUUGACUAAUCUUUUAAGACCCACAGAAUUUUGUGUUCUGUGACAAUGUAAACAGCGGACCUACCAAAAGUAAGAGGAGAUGCUUCUUUCACCAGAAAAAAAGUCUGUUUUGGUGCUGCUACAGAAAAGGACAAACUCCGACUGCAACGGACAAUCAAAACUGCUGAAAGGAUUGUCGGUACCCCCCUACCCACCCUUGAGGACUUGCACGCUGCCAGAACUAAGACGAGCGUGCAAAAUCCUCUCGGACCCUCCACAUCCCGGUCACCGGCUCUUCCGGCUCCUUCCCUCAGAUGGAGUGCUUCCCCACCAAUGGGAGAUGAUCGUCCUGGACCCAGCACGUUACCGCUGACUGUAACGGAUGCUGUGCUGCCCAUCAUCGUGUUAUUUCACCUCUCAACCGUUUACUCUCCGCACGAGGUGGUCCUACUCUCACAAAAAAGUGGCUCCCGGCAUCUGUCCAACAGUCCAAAGUGAGCAAAAGCGGGUCAGCCACUGUAAGAUUGAUGACGGAGCCCUGGCGACAACGCACAUCACCUCCGCCGGACUCCCCUUUGUCUUCCUAAACGAAGGAGAAGGCCGUCUGCUGUUGGAUUAUCGAUGAGUAUCGAUCAAACGAUCAGAGUCGCCGACCCCGCGAGGCCGACAGCGCGCAACCGAGGAUGCCCAAGUGGCGCAAAUGGCAAAUGAAAGAUGCAUCGUCCUCGCCUGUUCGCUCCCCCCCUCACCUCAGUCACUCCGCGGCGCUCUGGCUGCUGGCUGCUGGAUGCCUGCGCGCUCCCUCGCUCCACACAGGCGCGUGCGCGAACCAAGACGCCCCGUGUUAGUGGCGGUGGGAGUGGACCGCCAGACCACAACGGGAUUGGGGGAAUCAUUCAUGGAAGGGAGGGGGUGCACAUACACUGAAGCAUCGAUCUAUCUACAGAUUGAGCAAUCGAUGCUUUUGCUUUUGUUUGACAAAAUGCUUUAUCUGUCCAUGGAUAUCACAUGACCUGGUUAAUACAACCCCAAUUCCAAUGAAGUUGGGACGUUGUGUUAAACAUAAAUAAAAACAGAAUGCAAUGAUUUAGAAAUCAUUUUCAACCUACAGUUAAUUGA
Molecule: long non-coding RNA, 1269 nt
Organism: Phycodurus eques (leafy seadragon)
Lineage: Eukaryota; Metazoa; Chordata; Actinopteri; Syngnathiformes; Syngnathidae
Exons: 4
Source: RefSeq, a predicted model, not a curated record